This 212-nucleotide ribosomal RNA is filed under the name uncultured Planctomycetia bacterium. RNAcentral's name for it is "partial 16S ribosomal RNA". It matches the Rfam family "Bacterial small subunit ribosomal RNA", at positions 794 to 1002 of the family's 1533-position model. Lineage: Bacteria; Pseudomonadati; Planctomycetota; Planctomycetia. The record is from RNAcentral.
UCCUAGCCGUAAACUAUGGGUACUAGGCAAUGGGACAACUUAUGUGUUUCAUCGCCGCAGCUAAUGUGUUAAGUACCCCGCCUGGGGAGUACGCUCGCAAGGGUAAAACUCAAAGGAAUUGACGGGGGAUCACACAAGCAGUGGAGCAUGUUGUUUAAUUCGAAGCAACGCGAAGAACCUUACCAGGCCUUGACAUGCAUGGAUUAGCUUCC